RNAcentral lists this ribosomal RNA (491 nucleotides) under uncultured bacterium. RNAcentral's name for it is "bacterial SSU rRNA". It matches the Rfam family "Bacterial small subunit ribosomal RNA", at positions 29 to 511 of the family's 1533-position model. The record is from RNAcentral.
AUUGAACGCUGGCGGCAUGCUUUACACAUGCAAGUCGAACGGCAGCACGGGUGCUUGCACCUGGUGGCGAGUGGCGGACGGGUGAGUAAUACAUCGGAACGUGUCCAGAAGAGGGGGAUAACGCAUCGAAAGAUGCGCUAAUACCGCAUAUGCUCUGAGGAGGAAAGUGGGGGAUCGAAAGACCUUACGCUUUUGGAGCGGCCGAUGUCUGAUUAGCUAGUUGGUGGGGUAAGGGCCUACCAAGGCGACGAUCAGUAGUUGGUCUGAGAGGACGACCAGCCACACUGGGACUGAGACACGGCCCAGACUCCUACGGGAGGCAGCAGUGGGGAAUUGUUCGCAAUGGGCGCAAGCCUGACGACGCAACGCCGCGUGGAGGAUGAAGAUCUUCGGGUCGUAAACUCCUUUCGAUCGAGACGAAUGGCCCUUGGGAUAAUACCCUGAGGGAGUGACGGUACCGAGAGAAGAAGCCCCGGCUAACUCCGUGCCAG